AAACACAGACAAGGUCUACCUCUAUGAAACAGAUAUCUUAUCUUCACAAUACUUCUAUUCAGCUGAAUUCAAGUGCUUGGAAGCUGCUUGGCUGACUGCCUCACUGGAAAUUCUUCAGGGAAUGCUCUGGUUGCACACCCAAACAGAAGAUUGAAAUUAGACCUGGAGAGUUUGGAAAUUACUUGAGAGAAUGACAGAACAGAGUCAAUCGAAUCUUUCUGGCAUCCACCAGAGAAACACCUAAGAAGAUGACUAUUCUCCUUUGAGAAUAGAAUAUAUCCUAAUCUAAUCCUGAGGCUGUACCAGCCAUCAGCCACUCUCUCAAGCAUCAUUUCAGAGGAUGAAACUGGGACAGGAGAAGACUUUGGCAUUCAACUGAACCAGAAUCAGAAUGAGCACCUUCACUACCUAUUGACAUUUAUUUUGCUUUGUAUUCAAUGCCU
RNAcentral lists this long non-coding RNA (443 nucleotides) under Sarcophilus harrisii (Tasmanian devil). RNAcentral describes it as "lncRNA (ENSSHAG00000020740.1)". The record is from RNAcentral. Lineage: Eukaryota; Metazoa; Chordata; Mammalia; Dasyuromorphia; Dasyuridae.